This is a non-coding RNA of Rhodofomes roseus, 104 nucleotides long. Lineage: Eukaryota; Fungi; Basidiomycota; Agaricomycetes; Polyporales; Fomitopsidaceae. The record is from the annotation of a RefSeq genome assembly.
GCUUGGGUGGCUCAGUUGGUUAGAGCGUAGGUCUCAUAUUUGCAUAUGAGUCGCAGUCACGUGAUACAAUCCUAAGGCCGAGAGUUCAAGUCUCUCCCCGAGCA